CGGGUGAGUAAUGUCUGGGAAACUGCCUGAUGGAGGGGGAUAACUACUGGAAACGGUAGCUAAUACCGCAUAACGUCGCAAGACCAAAGAGGGGACCUUCGGGCCUCUUGCCAUCGGAUGUGCCCAGAUGGGAUUAGCUAGUAGGUGGGGUAAUGGCUCACCUAGGCGACGAUCCCUAGCUGGUCUGAGAGGAUGACCAGCCACACUGGAACUGAGACACGGUCCAG
Molecule: ribosomal RNA, 227 nt
Filed under: uncultured bacterium
Lineage: Bacteria
Description: partial 16S ribosomal RNA
Rfam family: Bacterial small subunit ribosomal RNA
Source: RNAcentral